GGGUAGAACCUUCUGUUGCAAAGGAGAAUGACGAAUGCAAAAGUAAAAAAUUCAAAUGAAAGCGAAUAUAUAUAUAUAGGAUCCCUUAACGGUCCGGAUGAAGUCACUCAAAUCAAGAUCUUCUCAGAUGUCGACACAUGGCUACAUCAAGACUGACCAUUAAUCGGACAAUUCGAUGCAUCUGCUCUCAGAUCAUACCACCUCACAAUUAUCUGCGUGAACAACACAGACCCAAUGACAUCCAAACACGUAGCCAAAAUCUACUAGUCAAAAUUAAAUCAUCGGGAUUCUCCGGACGCUGAAUUAUCUUCCCGAAACAACAUCUCAAUGAUGAUCUCAUAGUUAUCGAAACAACAAAAUAGCUGGAGACCUUUGUAUUUCAAAAAAUCAUUAAUGACUGCAGCCGAAUCAGAGCUCGA
RNAcentral lists this long non-coding RNA (419 nucleotides) under Elaeis guineensis (African oil palm). Its description in RNAcentral is "long non-coding RNA (EGUI_LNC016653)". The record is from RNAcentral. Lineage: Eukaryota; Viridiplantae; Streptophyta; Magnoliopsida; Arecales; Arecaceae.